AGAAUGAACGCUGGCGGCAUGCCUAACACAUGCAAGUCGAACGAGACCUUCGGGUCUAGUGGCGCACGGGUGCGUAACGCGUGGGAAUCUGCCCUUGGGUUCGGAAUAACUCAGAGAAAUUUGAGCUAAUACCGGAUAAUGACGUAAGUCCAAAGAUUUAUCGCCCAGGGAUGAGCCCGCGUAGGAUUAGCUUGUUGGUGAGGUAAAGGCUCACCAAGGCGACGAUCCUUAGCUGGUCUGAGAGGAUGAUCAGCCACACUGGGACUGAGACACGGCCCAGACUCCUACGGGAGGCAGCAGUGGGGAAUAUUGGACAAUGGGCGAAAGCCUGAUCCAGCAAUGCCGCGUGAGUGAUGAAGGCCUUAGGGUUGUAAAGUCUCUUUUACCCGGGAAGAUAAUGACUGUACCGGGAGAAGUAAGCCCGGCUAACUCCGCGCCAGCAGCCGC
This 447-nucleotide ribosomal RNA is filed under the name uncultured bacterium. RNAcentral's name for it is "SSU rRNA". It matches the Rfam family "Bacterial small subunit ribosomal RNA", at positions 26 to 518 of the family's 1533-position model. The record is from RNAcentral.